This 28-nucleotide small RNA is filed under the name Bombyx mori (domestic silkworm). Its description in RNAcentral is "ovarian small RNA-19118". The record is from RNAcentral. Lineage: Eukaryota; Metazoa; Arthropoda; Insecta; Lepidoptera; Bombycidae.
UAAGAAGCAGUCGCCUUCCGGUGGUAAU